CAAGACAAAUGCGGACAAUACAAGAAUACAAAAAACAAAUGCCAAGCUCUUUUUUAUUACCGAACCAAACAAAUAACAUCCUACACUUAAAGCAACCACCAACCGAGGAAAGAGCACAUACAAAGUUCCACAUAAAUAUCGGCUUCACAUACAAAGUUCCAAGAAUCCACGAAAUAUCAGCUCCCGAUGCUACAUACCGCACAAAUAAGUUGAUCGAUAAGCAAGUACCUGGAAAUUUUGACAUUCGUUUGUGUUCCUCAAUCUGCUCUGGACUGACCAGCUCGAGAAGAUA
This 292-nucleotide long non-coding RNA is filed under the name Capsella rubella. Its description in RNAcentral is "long non-coding RNA (CRUB_LNC003929)". Lineage: Eukaryota; Viridiplantae; Streptophyta; Magnoliopsida; Brassicales; Brassicaceae. The record is from RNAcentral.